RNAcentral lists this ribosomal RNA (728 nucleotides) under uncultured bacterium. Its description in RNAcentral is "bacterial SSU rRNA". It matches the Rfam family "Bacterial small subunit ribosomal RNA", at positions 97 to 841 of the family's 1533-position model. The record is from RNAcentral.
GGCGAACGGGUGAGUAACGCGUGAGGAACCUGCCUCAAAGAGGGGGACAACAGUUGGAAACGACUGCUAAUACCGCAUAAGCCCACGGCUCGGCAUCGAGCAGGGGGAAAAGGAGCAAUCCGCUUUGAGAUGGCCUCGCGUCCGAUUAGCUAGUUGGUGAGGUAACGGCCCACCAAGGCGACGAUCGGUAGCCGGACUGAGAGGUUGAACGGCCACAUUGGGACUGAGACACGGCCCAGACUCCUACGGGAGGCAGCAGUGGGGAAUAUUGCACAAUGGGGGAAACCCUGAUGCAGCGACGCCGCGUGGAGGAAGAAGGUCUUCGGAUUGUAAACUCCUGUUGUUGAGGAAGAUAAUGACGGUACUCAACAAGGAAGUGACGGCUAACUACGUGCCAGCAGCCGCGGUAAAACGUAGGUCACAAGCGUUGUCCGGAAUUACUGGGUGUAAAGGGAGCGCAGGCGGGAGAACAAGUUGGAAGUGAAAUCCAUGGGCUUAACCCAUGAACUGCUUUCAAAACUGUUUUUCUUGAGUAGUGCAGAGGUAGGCGGAAUUCCCGGUGUAGCGGUGGAAUGCGUAGAUAUCGGGAGGAACACCAGUGGCGAAGGCGGCCUACUGGGCACCAACUGACGCUGAGGCUCGAAAGUGUGGGUAGCAAACAGGAUUAGAUACCCUGGUAGUCCACACCGUAAACGAUGAUUACUAGGUGUUGGAGGAUUGACCCCUUC